AUACGAAGGGUGCUAGCGUUGUUCGGAAUUACUGGGCGUAAAGAGCAUGUAGGCGGAUAGAUUAGUCAGAGGUGAAAGCCCCGAGCUCAACUCGGGAACUGCCUUUGAUACUGUUUAUCUAGAGACAGAGAGAGGUGAGUGGAAUUCUCAGUGUAGAGGUGAAAUUCGUAGAUAUUGGGAAGAACACCAGUGGCGAAGGCGGCUCACUGGCUCGAUACUGACGCUGAGGUACGAAAGCGUGGGGAGCAAACAGGAUUAGAAACCCCAGUAGUCC
RNAcentral lists this ribosomal RNA (274 nucleotides) under uncultured bacterium. RNAcentral describes it as "partial 16S ribosomal RNA". It matches the Rfam family "Bacterial small subunit ribosomal RNA", at positions 523 to 796 of the family's 1533-position model. The record is from RNAcentral.